GAGAAAGAGAACAAGAGCGAACGGAGGAUGCCUUGGCUUCCGAAAGCGAAGAAGGACGUGGUAAGCUGCGAAAAGCUCCGGGGAUUUGCAAACAGGAAUUGAUCCGGAGAUGUCCGAAUGGGGGAACCCCUGCAGAUGAAGUCUGCAGACCAUCGUCAGAUGGGGCAAACGCAGGGAACUGAAACAUCUUAGUACCUGCAGGAAAAGAAAGAAACAUCGAUUCCCAGAGUAGUGGCGAUCGAAAUGGGAAGAGCCUAAACCGUGUGCGUUACGGCGUAUGCGGGGUUGUAGGACCUCUUAUAAAGAACCAGUCAGGAACCGGAACCGUCUGGAAAGUCGGUCCGCAGAGGGUGAAAGGCCCGUACGGGUAACGAGAUUGGUUCGAGAGGGGCACCUGAGUAGGGCGGGACACGUGGAAUCCUGUCUGAAUCUGCGGCGACCAUGCCGCAAGGCUAAAUAUGAUCGGAAGACCGAUAGUG
This 479-nucleotide ribosomal RNA is filed under the name Bacteroidales bacterium. RNAcentral describes it as "partial 23S ribosomal RNA". It matches the Rfam family "Bacterial large subunit ribosomal RNA", at positions 1 to 492 of the family's 2925-position model. Lineage: Bacteria; Pseudomonadati; Bacteroidota; Bacteroidia; Bacteroidales. The record is from RNAcentral.